Molecule: long non-coding RNA, 828 nt
Organism: Phalaenopsis equestris
Lineage: Eukaryota; Viridiplantae; Streptophyta; Magnoliopsida; Asparagales; Orchidaceae
Exons: 4
Source: RefSeq, a predicted model, not a curated record
AUAUUUUUAACACUGAUUAAUCACAACCCAUAAAUUUUUAUACUCAUGAAUCCCAAUACAUUCACUUCACACGUGGAGCCCACUUAAUAUAAUCUCAGAAGCAAAGUUUUGCCGGAUUCCGCGAUCGAUCCCUCGUUCCCAAUCGUCGGUCUCUUCCACCGGUGGCAAUGCUUCCCAUUCUCUCCAGCGGCGACGCUUCCCAUGCUCUGUUAGUGCUCGGAAACUUGUCAAGUGGUUUCAGCUCCUUGCCUGCUUCCUAGGAAUGGUUGGUGGUUCACUAAAACGUGCAAGAAAGAAAAUUUCUACUGGAAACAGAGCAUAUGAAACACAGUCUCCACCACUUGGUGAGUCUGAGGAGCCUGAUUACAAUGAACCAAAUGCACUAUGGCCAAAAGAUGUGGUUUCACGUUCUGUAAGACAUAUAAAAAUGGAAUUUGCACUGGUGGGUUAAGCAAGGGAACAAGAAAUUAAGCACAUGAAACACAAUCUCCAUCGCUUAGUGAGUCUGAGGAGCAAGAUUACAAUGAACCAUACGCAUGGUGACUAGAAGAUGGGGUCUCACAUUCUGAAAGUGGUUCAUCAUUAAGACAUAUAAAAAUAUAAUUUACAGAGGUGGGUUAAGCAAAGGAUCAAGAAACUGAGCAUAUGAAACACAGACUCCACCGCUUGAUAAGUCUGAGGAGCAACAUUGCAAUGAACCACAUGCACCAUGGCUAGAUGAUGGGGUUUCGCUUUCUGAUAUGUUGUGUAACCAUUUGAUUUAUAAACACUUAAUUUAAAAAAGCCUAUAAAUUAAAGUCUAUAUUUUAAUUUGCAUUAUGGUAUUAA